GAGCAGUGGGGAGAGGACACAUCCCUGAGGGGCACCAGUGCUGAUGGUGCGGGUGCUGGAUGAGAAUUUUUCCAGCUUUACUAGCUGCUUCCUGUCUGUCAGGAAGUUGGUGAUCCACUGACAGACGGAGGUGGGCAUGGAGAGCUGAAUUAAUUG
This is a long non-coding RNA of Sinocyclocheilus anshuiensis, 156 nucleotides long. RefSeq lists it as uncharacterized. The transcript has 3 exons. NCBI's taxonomy places the organism in Eukaryota, Metazoa, Chordata, Actinopteri, Cypriniformes, Cyprinidae. The record is from RefSeq and is a predicted model, not a curated record.